GACGAACGCUGGCGGCGUGCUUAACACAUGCAAGUCGAACGGAAAGGCCCUGCUUUUGUGGGGUGCUCGAGUGGCGAACGGGUGAGUAACACGUGAGUAACCUGCCCUUGACUUUGGGAUAACUUCAGGAAACUGGGGCUAAUACCGGAUAGGAGCUCCUGCUGCAUGGUGGGGGUUGGAAAGUUUCGGCGGUUGGGGAUGGACUCGCGGCUUAUCAGCUUGUUGGUGGGGGAGUGGCUUACCAAGGCUUUGACGGGUAGCCGGCCUGAGAGGGUGACCGGCCACAUUGGGACUGAGAGACGGCCCAGACUCCUACGGGAGGCAGCAGUGGGGAAUAUUGCACAAUGGGCGGAAGCCUGAUGCAGCAACGCCGCGUGCGGGAUGACGGCCUUCGGGUUGUAAACCGCUUUCGCCUGUGACGAAGCGUGAGUGACGGUAAUGGGUAAAGAAGCACCGGCUAACUACGUG
Molecule: ribosomal RNA, 468 nt
Filed under: uncultured bacterium
Lineage: Bacteria
Description: partial 16S ribosomal RNA
Rfam family: Bacterial small subunit ribosomal RNA
Source: RNAcentral